ACUCCCCACCGCCACACCCCAACCAACGAAUAGCUUGUGUGAUGGAUGACCCAAGCACAAGCUAAACACACCAUGGGGGCCUUGGAGACACACCAAGGCCACCAGAGCAGGGCAGGAUUUUUUUCAGUUCUUCAAAGCACAGGAAAUGUGUGACUAUGACCAAAUGUUCUGACAUGUUUCAAUUUGCACCAGGCUGCAUCACUGCUCACCAAGAAAUACGUUUUUCAGCGCUGUAAGAAAUACCAUAAGCAGGUCCAUGGUCCUGCUGCUCAUCCUCCCACUGCUCAAGUAUGGAUCUGCUACGUGGUGAAGGUUUCCUCCUGUUGUUGUGAGUCUGUCUGGCUGGGAUCUGGAGCCCCAAGUUCCUUAUCACUUAUAAUAUCAUACAAGAGGUGAUGAAGUACACAAACUUGGAGGAACGGAGAACAGCAACAGCUGGAGGAAAAGAGUGGAAAACUGUCAACGAAAUGGAUGUUGAAAUUCUUCUAUUGGUGUUCUGUGUAAUAUUUGUAUUUUUCAAUUAUCAGAAUGUUCAAAAUCUGUUAUAAAGUGAAAAAUAAACAUAUUUCAAACAUGUUA
Molecule: long non-coding RNA, 579 nt
Organism: Acanthochromis polyacanthus (spiny chromis)
Lineage: Eukaryota; Metazoa; Chordata; Actinopteri; Pomacentridae
Exons: 3
Source: RefSeq, a predicted model, not a curated record